CAAAAUAAAUCUGGAGACAGUUUCCUUGUUCAGAAGAUUGUGUUGGGAUUAGAGUCAUUUUGGGGUAGAAAUCUUCCCUUUCGUCAACAGAACGGUUUAAAAGACUCUCUUUAAUGGCAGGCCUGUGGUUUCUUAGAAGAGUUGAUGCUUUUCAUUGAAGAAAAGGCCUUUGUUUAAAGAAGACAAAAAAGUCAAAAGAGCUCCUCCAACGAUGG
Molecule: long non-coding RNA, 215 nt
Organism: Carcharodon carcharias (great white shark)
Lineage: Eukaryota; Metazoa; Chordata; Chondrichthyes; Lamniformes; Lamnidae
Exons: 3
Source: RefSeq, a predicted model, not a curated record